AGAGGUAAACGGGUGGAGUUGAACUGCAUGCUCCGUGAAUUCAGCUGGUGAGAUUGUUGUGGGGCUUGGUCAAGUGGGGUAGACACUGAGGUAUGCUUAGCUGCAUGUCCCGGCCUGCUGGUUGGGAUGCGCGCUACGCUCAUCAUGCGUUGCGCGCCUCUGUUGUUUAUCUGCCCUCUCGCCAGUGCAUUUUCGCGGAGUGUUCACCAAGACCGGCGUUGCUGUCCGGCUGCUUUGGUUAAACCGGUCUUACGCGUCCUUGUGGCGUUGUUUGGUCGGGACGGCAGGUAGCCCGUUGGCUUGUUUUGCUUGCUUUCGGGUGUAAUCAGCUGACUAGAGCGGGACUGUGCAGUGCGUCGGAGCUGGCGGCCAGUUGUGCAUGCUCGUGCGUCAUGCCUUCCGAAGGAUUCUGUUUUGAUCACCAUGUUGCCUGUCUCGGCAGGUCUGGUGAUAGACGGGUUUCUAUUGGUUGGUGGUUCCGCGGGUAGCACUUUACAGGGCCAAUAGUCUUUGGUGUCGUGGUAGACUAUCCACCUGACCCGUCUUGAAACACGGACCAAGGAGAGUAACAUGUGCGCGAGUCAUUGGGUGUAACGAAACCCAAAGGCGCAGUGAAAGUAAAGGUCUGACUUGUUCAGUCUGAGGUGAGAUCCUGUUGUUUCUCAUGCCUGGUACCACCAAGCUUGGAGCGACAGGCGCAUCACCGGCCCGUCCCAUGAUGUAGACACGGUCAUUGUACUCGUGCACCGUCGGGGCGGAGCAUGAGCGCACACGUUGAGACCCGAAAGAUGGUGAACUAUGCUUGCGCAGGUUGAAGCCAGAGGAAACUCUGGUGGAGGACCGCAGCGAUUCUGACGUGCAAAUCGA
This 867-nucleotide ribosomal RNA is filed under the name Phyllodistomum staffordi. Its description in RNAcentral is "eukaryotic LSU rRNA". It matches the Rfam family "Eukaryotic large subunit ribosomal RNA", at positions 411 to 901 of the family's 3401-position model. Lineage: Eukaryota; Metazoa; Platyhelminthes; Trematoda; Plagiorchiida; Gorgoderidae. The record is from RNAcentral.